AGUGAACGCUGGCGGUAGGCCUAACACAUGCAAGUCGAACGGCAGCACAGUAAGAGCUUGCUCUUACGGGUGGCGAGUGGCGGACGGGUGAGGAAUACAUCGGAAUCUACUUUUUCGUGGGGGAUAACGUAGGGAAACUUACGCUAAUACCGCAUACGACCUACGGGUGAAAGCAGGGGAUCUUCGGACCUUGCGCGAUUGGAUGAGCCGAUGUCGGAUUAGCUAGUUGGCGGGGUAAAGGCCCACCAAGGCGACGAUCCGUAGCUGGUCUGAGAGGAUGAUCAGCCACACUGGAACUGAGACACGGUCCAGACUCCUACGGGAGGCAGCAGUGGGGAAUAUUGGACAAUGGGCGCAAGCCUGAUCCAGCCAUACCGCGUGGGUGAAGAAGGCCUUCGGGUUGUAAAGCCCUUUUGUUGGGAAAGAAAAGCAGCGGGUUAAUACCCCGCUGUUCUGACGGUACCCAAAGAAUAAGCACCGGCUAACUUCGUG
This 492-nucleotide ribosomal RNA is filed under the name uncultured bacterium. RNAcentral describes it as "partial 16S ribosomal RNA". It matches the Rfam family "Bacterial small subunit ribosomal RNA", at positions 29 to 507 of the family's 1533-position model. The record is from RNAcentral.